RNAcentral lists this ribosomal RNA (420 nucleotides) under uncultured bacterium. Its description in RNAcentral is "bacterial SSU rRNA". It matches the Rfam family "Bacterial small subunit ribosomal RNA", at positions 356 to 774 of the family's 1533-position model. The record is from RNAcentral.
AAGGAAUAUUGGUCAAUGGACGCAAGUCUGAACCAGCCAUGCCGCGUGAAGGAUGAAGGUCCUCUGGAUUGUAAACUUCUUUUAUCUGGGACGAAAACGGGAUUUUUAUCUCAAUUGACGGUACCAGAGGAAUAAGCACCGGCUAACUCCGUGCCAGCAGCCGCGGUAAUACGGAGGGUGCGAGCGUUAUCCGGAUUUACUGGGUUUAAAGGGUGCGUAGGUGGGCUUAUAAGUCAGUGGUGAAAUCUCCGAGCUUAACUUGGAAACUGCCGUUGAUACUAUAGGUCUUGAAUUAUCUGGAGGUAAGCGGAAUAUGUCAUGUAGCGGUGAAAUGCUUAGAUAUGACAUAAAACACCAAUUGCGAAGGCAGCUUACUACAUAUAAAUUGACGCUGAGGCACGAAAGCGUGGGGAUCAAACA